Molecule: ribosomal RNA, 253 nt
Filed under: uncultured bacterium
Lineage: Bacteria
Description: partial 16S ribosomal RNA
Rfam family: Bacterial small subunit ribosomal RNA
Source: RNAcentral
UACGUAGGGUGCAAGCGUUGUCCGGAAUUACUGGGCGUAAAGCGCGCGUAGGCGGCUUGUUAAGUCGGAUGUGAAAUCCCUGGGCUCAACCUAGGCAUUGCAUUCGAUACUGGCAAGCUAGAGUAUGGGAGAGGAAGGUAGAAUUCCAGGUGUAGCGGUGAAAUGCGUAGAGAUCUGGAGGAACACCGAUGGCGAAGGCAGCCCCCUGGGUCAACACUGACGCUCAUGCACGAAAGCGUGGGGAGCAAACAGG